GAUGGCCCCCCUGCGGAAGGUGCGGUUGGUCAAGAGCGGGCCGUCGAUGGUUGUCGAACACGACACGCGGGUGGAUGCCUUGUGUGAGCCGUCGUCAUGCCUUUCGGGACCGGACGGCGAGGCCUCGAGGACCCCAUUCGGUGGUGCGAGUCGAUGCCACGGACCGCGACCCCGUGUCGGUGGGGGCUACCCGCUGAGUUUAAGCAUAUAAAUAAGCGGAGGAGAAGAAAAACUUACAAGGAUUCCCUUUAGUAACGGGCGAGCAACCGGGAUCAGCCCAGAUUGAGAAUCGGGCGACUACGUCGUCUGAAUUGUAAUCCGGAGAAGCGCCCUCAAUGACGGACCGGGCCCAAGUCCCCGGAAAGGGCGCCGGGAGGGUGAGAGCCCCGUCCGGCUUUCGGACCCUGUCCGCACCAUGAGGCGCUGUCGACGAAGUCGGGUUGUUUGGGAAUGCAGCCCCAAUCGGGCGGUAAAUUCCGGCCCAAGGCUAAAUAUGGGCGAGACCGAUAGCGAACAAGUACCGCGAGGGAAAGAUGAAAAGGACUUUGAAAAGAGAGUCAAAGAGUGCUUUGAAAUUGCCGGGAGGGAAGCGGAUGGGGGCGGCGAUGCACCUCGGUCGGAUGCGAACGGCGGUUAGCCGAUCUGCCGCCGCUUCGGCUUCGAGUGCGGAUCAAUGCGGGCUGCAUCAACGGCCGGGCCCCACGGAUCGUUCGUUCGAGGGGAUACCGCCGAUGCGGUCGAGAGACAUGACGCCAGCGCCAUCGGCGUGCCCGGGGUACACGCGUCGCGACCUAGGCAUCGGCUAGUGGGCUCCCCAUCCGACCCAUCUUGAAACACGGACCAAGAGUCCGACAUGCGUGCGAAGUCGACGGGUGCGGAAACCCGUAAGGCACAAGGAAAGCUAACGGGGGGAACCCUCUCGAGGGGUUGCACCGCCGACCCCCCGAUCUUCUAUGAAGGGUUCGAGUUGGAGCAUGCAUGUCGGGACCGAAAGAUGGUGAACUAUGCCCGAAGCGAGGCGAAGACAGAGGAAACUUCGGUGGAGGCCCGGCGAUCUUGGACGAUGCAAAUCGUUCGUCGACUUGGGUAUAGGGCGAAAGACUAAUCGAACCAUCUAGUAGCUGGUUCCCUCCGUUUCCCUCGAUAGCCGGAGCCCACGUGCGAAGUUCUAUCGGGUAAAGCCAAUGAUUAGAGGCAUUGGGGCGCAGCGCCCCCGACCUAUUCUCAAACUUUAAAUAGGUAGGACGGGCGCGGUUGCCGCUUGAGUCGCGCCACGGAAUCGAGAGCUCCAAGUGGGCCAUUUUGGUAAGCGAAUCGGCGAUCGCGGGAUGAACCGUAAGCCGGGUUACGGUUGCCCAAAUCACAAGGCUAACCCGCACACCACAAAGGGUGUUGGUCGACUAAACAAGCAGGACGGUGGUCAUGGAAGUCGAAAUCCGCUAAGGAGUGUGUAACAACUCACCCGCCGAAUCAACUAGCCCCGAAAAUGGAUGGCGCUGAAGCGCGUGACCCACACCCGCCAUCGGGCGGCGCCAAGCCCCGAUGAGUAGGAGGGCGUGGCGGCCGCGAAAACCCAAACCUGCGAGCCCGGCGAGCGCCGUCGGUGCAGAUCUUGGUGGUAUCAAAGAAUAUUCAAAUGAGAACUUUUGAAGGUCGAAGAGGGGAAAGGUUCCAUGUGAACGGCACUUGCACAUGGGUUAGCCGAUCCUAAGGGACGGGGAAGCCCGUCCGAGAGCGCGGUCCGCGAAGCCAAAGGGAAUCGGUUAAAAUUCCCGCCGGGAUGCAGCGGCGGACGGCAACGUUAGGAAGUCCGGAGACGCCGCGAGGGCUCCGGAAGAAUUAUCUUUUUCUGCUUAACGCGCCCGCCCACCUAAAACGGCUCACCGGAGGUAGGGUCCAGCGGUCGGAAGAGCGCCGCCGUCAUGGCGGCGUCCGCAGCGCCCGCCCCUUGAAAAUCCGGAGGACGAAAGUGCCGCCUCGCGCCGGCCAGACUCAUAACCGCAUCAGUCUCCAAGGUGAACGACCUCUGGCCCAUGGAACAAUGUAGGCAAGGGAAGUCGGCAAAAGGGGGUCCCGCCCCAACCCAUCGGGCCGUCGGCGGAUCGCUUCGAAGCCGCUCUGUGGCGAGAGCGGUCGCCAGCGUCUUGGCCGGGGACGGACCGAAUGGCCCCCGGAGCCUUCCCCGGCGUCAACAACCGACUUCUAACUGGUAAUACGGACAAGGGGAAUCCAACUGUUUAAUUAAAACAAAGCAUUGCGAUGGUCCCCGCGGAUGCUCACGCAAUGUGAUUCGCGCCUGCUCAAUGUCAAAGUGAAGAAAUUCAACCAAGCGGUAAACGACGGAGUAACUAUGACUCUCUUAAGGUAGCCAAAUGCCUCAUCAUCUAAUUAGUGACGCGCAUGAAUGGAUUAACGAGAUUCCCACCGUCCCCAUCUACUAUCCAUCCAAUAAACCACGCCCAAGGGAACGGGCUUGGCGAAUCAGCGGGAAAGAAGACCCCGAGCUUGGCUCUAGUCCCACUUUGUGAAAUGACGGAGAGGUGUAGGAUAAGUGGGAGCCGGUUCGGGCACGGGCGGAAGUGAAAUACCACUACUUUUAACGUUAUUUUACUUAUUCCGCGAGUCGGAGGUGGGGCUCCGCCCCUCUUUUGACCCCAAGGCCCGCCUAGCGGGCCGAUCCAAGCGGAAGACAUUGUCGUGGGGAGUUUGGCUGGGCGGCACAUAUGUUAAAAGAUAACGCAGGUGUCCUAAGAUGAGCUCAACGAGAAACAGAAAUCUCGUGGAACAAAAGGGUAAAAGCUCGUUUGAUUCGAUUUCCAAAUGAUCAAUCUGAACCGCGAAAGCGUGGCCUAUCGAUCCUUUAGACCUUCGGAAUUUGAAGCUAGAGGUGUCGUAGAAAAGUUACCACAGGGAUAACCGGCUUGUGGCAGCCAAGCGCUCAUAGCGACGUUGCUUUUUUUAUCCUUCGAUGUCGGCUCUUCCUAUCAUUGUGAAGCGAAUUCACCAAGUGUUGGAUUGUUCACCCACCAAUAGGGAACGUGAGCUGGGUUUAGACCGUCGUGAGACAAAGUUAGUUUUACCCUCAUCGAUGAUCGUGUCGCGAUAGUAAUUCAACCUAGUAAUGCGAGAGGAACCGCUGAUUCACACAAUUGGUCAUCGCUUGUUUGAAAAAACCGCUGGCGCUGGUUACUACCAUGUGUCGGAUUAUGACCGAACGCCUCUAAGUCGAAUCCUAGCUAGCAACCGGCGCUCUCGCCUGGCCGUUCGUGCUAGUCAUAGGUGCCC
Molecule: ribosomal RNA, 3285 nt
Filed under: Musa schizocarpa
Lineage: Eukaryota; Viridiplantae; Streptophyta; Magnoliopsida; Zingiberales; Musaceae
Description: bacterial LSU rRNA
Rfam family: Eukaryotic large subunit ribosomal RNA
Source: RNAcentral